This 458-nucleotide ribosomal RNA is filed under the name uncultured bacterium. RNAcentral's name for it is "bacterial SSU rRNA". It matches the Rfam family "Bacterial small subunit ribosomal RNA", at positions 356 to 831 of the family's 1533-position model. The record is from RNAcentral.
GGGGAAUAUUGCACAAUGGGGGAAACCCUGAUGCAGCGACGCCGCGUGAGCGAUGAAGUAUUUCGGUAUGUAAAGCUCUAUCAGCAGGGAAGAAAAUGACGGUACCUGACUAAGAAGCACCGGCUAAAUACGUGCCAGCAGCCGCGGUAAUACGUAUGGUGCAAGCGUUAUCCGGAUUUACUGGGUGUAAAGGGAGCGUAGACGGAGUGGCAAGUCUGAUGUGAAAACCCGGGGCUCAACCCCGGGACUGCAUUGGAAACUGUCAAUCUAGAGUACCGGAGAGGUAAGCGGAAUUCCUAGUGUAGCGGUGAAAUGCGUAGAUAUUAGGAGGAACACCAGUGGCGAAGGCGGCUUACUGGACGGUAACUGACGUUGAGGCUCGAAAGCGUGGGGAGCAAACAGGAUUAGAUACCCUGGUAGUCCACGCCGUAAACGAUGACUACUAGGUGUCGGGCAGC